CUCAUUUUGUUGGCUUUCUUAUGAAGAAUGCACCACAGUUUAAAGCAAAUCAUGCUGAACUUAUUUUAGCUAACCCGAGUCCAGUUCUCAUCUACCAGAUUUCAUCCAGUGAAACUCGAGUACUUGUUGACAUUAGAGGAGAAAUGCCAAGGAAUUUAAGAGAAUACAUGGUUGAAAAAAUUUACCCACAAAUACCUGAUCACCUGAAAGAACCAUUCUUAGAAGCCACUGACAAUUCUCAUCUGAGGUCCAUGCCAGCAAGCUUCCUUCCUCCUUCAUCAGUGAAGAAACGAGGUGUUCUUCUUUUGGGAGACGCAUAUAAUAUGAGGCAUCCACUUACUGGUGGAGGAAUGACUGUUGCUUUUAAAGAUAUAAAACUAUGGAGAAAACUGCUAAAGGGUAUCCCUGACCUUUAUGAUGAUGCAGCUAUUUUCGAGGCCAAAAAAUCAUUUUACUGGGCAAGAAAAACAUCUCAUUCCUUUGUCGUGAAUAUCCUUGCUCAGGCUCUUUAUGAAUUAUUUUCUGCCACAGAUGAUUCCCUGCAUCAACUAAGAAAAGCCUGUUUUCUUUAUUUCAAACUUGGUGGCGAAUGUGUUGCGGGUCCUGUUGGGCUGCUUUCUGUAUUGUCUCCUAACCCUCUAGUUUUAAUUGGACACUUCUUUGCUGUUGCAAUCUAUGCCGU
This 682-nucleotide long non-coding RNA is filed under the name Homo sapiens (human). Its description in RNAcentral is "long non-coding RNA NONHSAT216365.1". Lineage: Eukaryota; Metazoa; Chordata; Mammalia; Primates; Hominidae. The record is from RNAcentral.